AACGAACGCUGGCGGCAUGCCUAACACAUGCAAGUCGAACGAGACCUUCGGGUCUAGUGGCGCACGGGUGCGUAACGCGUGGGAAUCUGCCCUUGGGUUCGGUAUAACAGUUGGAAACGACUGCUAAUACCGGAUGAUCACGUAAGUCCAAAGAUUUAUCGCCCAAGGAUGAGCCCGCGUAGGAUUCGCUAGUUGGUGAGGUAAAGGCUCACCAAGGCGACGAUCCUUAGCUGGUCUGAGAGGAUGAUCAGCCACACUGGGACUGAGACACGGCCCAGACUCCUACGGGAGGCAGCAGUGGGGAAUAUUGGACAAUGGGCGAAAGCCUGAUCCAGCAAUGCCGCGUGAGUGAUGAAGGCCUUAGGGUUGUAAAGCUCUUUUACACGGGAUGAUAAUGACAGUACCGGGAGAAUAAGCUCCGGCUAACUACGUG
RNAcentral lists this ribosomal RNA (433 nucleotides) under uncultured bacterium. RNAcentral describes it as "partial 16S ribosomal RNA". It matches the Rfam family "Bacterial small subunit ribosomal RNA", at positions 29 to 507 of the family's 1533-position model. The record is from RNAcentral.